This 500-nucleotide ribosomal RNA is filed under the name uncultured bacterium. RNAcentral describes it as "bacterial SSU rRNA". It matches the Rfam family "Bacterial small subunit ribosomal RNA", at positions 1002 to 1512 of the family's 1533-position model. The record is from RNAcentral.
GGAAACGGUAUUUCCCUUCGGGGCAAAUUACAAGGUGCUGCAUGGUUGUCGUCAGCUCGUGCCGUGAGGUGUCGGGUUAAGUCCCAUAACGAGCGCAACCCUCAUCCUUAGUUGCCAGCGGAUAAUGCCGGGGACUCUAAGGAGACUGCCAGUGUAAACUGUGAGGAAGGUGGGGAUGACGUCAAAUCAGCACGGCCCUUAUGUCCAGGGCUACACACGUGUUACAAUGGCCGAUACAAUGGGCAGCUACCCCGCGAGGGGAUGCUAAUCUCUAAAGUCGGUCUCAGUUCGGAUCGAAGUCUGCAACUCGACUUCGUGAAGUUGGAUUCGCUAGUAAUCGCGCAUCAGCCAUGGCGCGGUGAAUACGUUCCCGGGCCUUGUACACACCGCCCGUCAAACCAUGGAAGCUGGGGGUACCUGAAGUCUGUUACCGCAAGGAACGGCCUAGGGUAAAACUAGUGACUGGGGUUAAGUCGUAACAAGGUAGCCGUACCGGAAGG